UGCGCAUCGUUUUGACAUCAGUUCUUAUGACUUAACUUUCAAGCACUGAUCCUUUGCAUGUAUCUCGAAUUUUCGAUUCAGACGUUUUUCUGGUUAUUUGCAUUUAAACCAUUAUUUUAGCAGCCUAAAUAACCUUCAGAUUAUGAUUCUCUGUCUGUUGUUCCAGAAAACGUAGAGCGGGAAGUCGCAGUUACUCAGAUAACCAGGUCAUGGCCUCCUGAUUACCUUGAGCCGCGCGCAAUCAGGCAACAAGGCAAUCCAAACAAUAAGCAUUCAAACGAUAAAAUUCACCACAUAAACUAAGAAUUACAAGUAGAAUCAAUCACGAGCCCCUGAAAAACAGGAAACGAGAGAGGAAGUAAAUAUUUGAGGAGGAUCUGCUCAGUUUCACUAGCUUAUGGAACAAGAGAAUAAGAAUAAAGAAGCUGACAAGCCUGCAGAAGCGUCUGCCAUGUCACUGGCAUUAGAACGAGCAAACGAGGAAGCUGCCAGGAAAUCACAAUCAUCUGAAAUGAAUUAUAGGGGAGCUGAGAAUCCUGGGGAAGCACCCAUUAAAGCAGAAUCAUAAAAAAAAAGAACCCCAAAUCACUGAAGGCCAAAUCUAAAAUCAAGAAGGGACCCCCAGGUGGCAUCUCUUUAGAAACCGAGAAAACUAAAGACAAUCAACAAUUUUGGGGGAGAAACCGAAAGAAGAAGAAUAAGAGUGCAAUUAAAGAAAAGGAAGAAGAUAACAAAAAUGAGUCUGCAAAUGAUAAGAACCAGAGUUCAAGGGAAGAU
Molecule: long non-coding RNA, 777 nt
Organism: Ricinus communis (castor bean)
Lineage: Eukaryota; Viridiplantae; Streptophyta; Magnoliopsida; Malpighiales; Euphorbiaceae
Exons: 2
Source: RefSeq, a predicted model, not a curated record